Molecule: ribosomal RNA, 492 nt
Filed under: uncultured bacterium
Lineage: Bacteria
Description: partial 16S ribosomal RNA
Rfam family: Bacterial small subunit ribosomal RNA
Source: RNAcentral
AGUGAACGCUGGCGGUAGGCCUAACACAUGCAAGUCGAACGGCAGCACAGUAAGAGCUUGCUCUUACGGGUGGCGAGUGGCGGACGGGUGAGGAAUACAUCGGAAUCUAUUUUUUCGUGGGGGAUAACGUAGGGAAACUUACGCUAAUACCGCAUACGACCUACGGGUGAAAGCAGGGGAUCUUCGGACCUUGCGCGAUUGAAUGAGCCGAUGUCGGAUUAGCUAGUUGGCGGGGUAAAGGCCCACCAAGGCGACGAUCCGUAGCUGGUCUGAGAGGAUGAUCAGCCACACUGGAACUGAGACACGGUCCAGACUCCUCCGGGAGGCAGCAGUGGGGAAUAUUGGACAAUGGGCGCAAGCCUGAUCCAGCCAUACCGCGUGGGUGAAGAAGGCCUUCGGGUUGUAAAGCCCUUUUGUUGGGAAAGAAAAGCAGCAGGUUAAUACCCCGCUGUUCUGACGGUACCCAAAGAAUAAGCACCGGCUAACUUCGUG